Molecule: long non-coding RNA, 1552 nt
Filed under: Daphnia pulicaria
Lineage: Eukaryota; Metazoa; Arthropoda; Branchiopoda; Diplostraca; Daphniidae
Description: uncharacterized LOC124350910
Source: RNAcentral
AUGCAAGCCGACAGGAUGACGCUGAUGUUGACGUCAAUGUCCACGAUGACGCUGAUGGUCGCUCCUGUCCAACCCCACCCGAAAAAAAAGGAGAGUCCAGCCGAGGUACGAUGGGGAGCAGACACGCGCUGGAGGCUUCCUGAAUCUAUAGUAUGUACAUAUAUCUACGUCACGGAAUAUCCAGCCACAAAGUGAAUCGAUUGAAACGCGUGAUAUGGUGGAAGCGGUGGCGGCGACGGCGGCAGCUACCGCUGCCAAGUGACCUUGCAACCACCGUGAGCGGCCAUCUUGGAUCGAAGGGUAUCCUCAAAGUCACGCGCCUUGCCCUCAAUUCCCAUGCACAACUUUUCAUCAAACAGACAUGGGGCCCGGCCUGGCCACACACAGAUCCUUUGGGGAUUCUCUAUUUCUUGUUGGCCCAGCUUUAUAUAUUAUCCAAUAGUACAAUAAUCCGAGAGUGGGAAGAAAAGAAAAGAAGAUAAAAUAAGACGCUGGCCGAUUUGAUGAUUGAGUUAGACGACACGGUUCAACGGCUACUACCCGCUCACGCCGGUGAUUUUGUAUUGAACACAGACGCCCGAGUGUAUUAUAGAAUAGACGCGCGUGGGAAGCUACUGUAUAGUUUCCCCUUUCAUUGGAUAAUUGGACUUUCGGUGCGGCUAAAGUGGCGGCCGACCAGAAGACUUCGCCGCAAAGUGCCGGAAUGAAGAGCAUGCCGCCCAUCCGCUCACCGAAGGCGUCCUGGAAAGGAUCGAGCAUGGUGACGUAGCCCUGCUCUCUCAUCUUAUUGGCGAAGAGCAAUCCGCCGAAGACGAGGCUGAGGGCGUAACCGAACGGAGCCUGGCACCAAAUCAGUCCCUUGCCGUAGAUCUCCUCGGCCGUUCCGGAAAUAUUCACUGCUGGGACAAAACCCCCAAAAUUGUAUACCUGUCAUGGUGAAGAUGCCGACGAAUAGGCCGAUGUUACGGCCGGCCAGCAUGACCUCCUCCUCCGACUCGCCGCCAUUGCCUUUCUUCUUGGCCGCCCAGAUGCCCACGAACAAGAUGAGCAGAGAAUUAAAGAAACAAUGGCCAGUUAUUGACUAUAUAUUGUCCGUCAUAUAUAUCAUUGACGUCUUUUGUGGCCAGAAACCCCUGGAUACCCUGCAGUCCAGACUUAUAUAUAGAUCCUUUUGGCUAAUUUCUAUUAUCUUUCCCCUAUUCACACCUACCGGUUUCGUAUAGGUACGCACGUCAUUCCAACUUUCUUGCAACAUAUCCGAGAGAUAUUGAUUGGGAAGCCGUCGUUGGCAUAAAUAUCUCAAACUUUUUGACUUCAUGCACACCAGCUAGCGCUUCUACGGCUUCGUUUACUACUCUCUCCCAUCUUUUCGGAAAUUAUUAAUCCCCUCUUGACAAGGACCCCUGGUAGUAGUAGGAGUAGUAGUAAGAGUAUAGACACAGCUUACCUUGUUCGACCACCAGGUGAGAAUGGAUCACGCGAAGGGCAGGCGGUUGGCGAUGGAUCAUCAGGAGCGAAGCAACGUGUCGGACACAACAAUCGCCCCAGCGCA